Non-coding RNA from Callorhinus ursinus (northern fur seal), 97 nucleotides. The record is from RefSeq and is a predicted model, not a curated record. Lineage: Eukaryota; Metazoa; Chordata; Mammalia; Carnivora; Otariidae.
GAUGGUGUGUAAGACGCAAUUCAAAAGGUUUCUACGGAAAUUCCACAGCUCAAGACCAAAGAAAAGAAUCAAAGCUAUAGGUACUUUAUUAAGCAGA